This 292-nucleotide ribosomal RNA is filed under the name uncultured bacterium. Its description in RNAcentral is "partial 16S ribosomal RNA". The record is from RNAcentral. RNAcentral also lists the same sequence under 2 other names.
GGACUACUAGGGUAUCUAAUCCCGUUUGCUCCCCUGGCUUUCGCGCCUCAGCGUCAGCAGAGGUCCAGCAGCUCGCUUUCGCCACCGGAGUUCCUUCCGAUAUCAACGCAUUUCACCGCUCCACCGGAAGUUCCAGCUGCCCCUACCUCCCUCCAGCUGACCAGUAUCCAAGGCCCUUUUCCGGUUAAGCCGAAAGAUUUCACCCCGGACUUGGUCAACCGCCUACGCGCCCUUUAAGCCCAGUGAUUCCGAACAACGUUCGCACGGUUCGUCUUACCGCGGCGGCUGGCAC